RNAcentral lists this small RNA (30 nucleotides) under Bombyx mori (domestic silkworm). RNAcentral describes it as "ovarian small RNA-11327". The record is from RNAcentral. Lineage: Eukaryota; Metazoa; Arthropoda; Insecta; Lepidoptera; Bombycidae.
ACCGGUGUUCGAAUCCCGCAGGCGGGUACA